RNAcentral lists this ribosomal RNA (394 nucleotides) under uncultured bacterium. RNAcentral describes it as "partial 16S ribosomal RNA". It matches the Rfam family "Bacterial small subunit ribosomal RNA", at positions 338 to 729 of the family's 1533-position model. The record is from RNAcentral.
CCUACGGGAGGCAGCAGUGAGGAAUAUUGGUCAAUGGGCGGGAGCCUGAACCAGCCAAGUAGCGUGAGGGAUGACUGCCCUACGGGUUGUAAACUGCUUUUAUAAAGGAAUAAAGUGAGCCACGUGUGCCUUUUUGUAGGUACUGUAUGAAUAAGGAUCGGCUAACUCCGUGCCAGCAGCCGCGGUAAUACGGAGGGUCCGAGCGUUAUCCGGAUUUAUUGGGUUUAAAGGGAGCGUAGAUGGGCUGUUAAGUCAGUUGUGAAAGUUUUCGGCUCAACCGUAAAAUUGCAAUUGAUACUGGCAGCCUUGAGUACAGUUGAGGUAGGCGGAAUUCGUGGUGUAGCGGUGAAAUGCUUAGAUAUCACGAAGAACUCCGAUUGCGAAGGCAGCCUAC